AGGAAAGCCUUAUUACACCGAUUUGCUAGAUUUAUUCAAUGAGGUGGAAUUUCAAACCGUCUCGGGUGAAAUGAUAGACUUAAUAACCACACUUGAAGGGGAGAAAGAUUUAUCGAUGUACUCAUUGUCAACUUACCGCAGGAUUGUUGAGUACAAGUCGGCUUAUUACUCAUUUUACCUUCCCGU
This is a long non-coding RNA of Hibiscus syriacus, 186 nucleotides long. RefSeq lists it as uncharacterized. The record is from RefSeq and is a predicted model, not a curated record. The transcript has 3 exons. Lineage: Eukaryota; Viridiplantae; Streptophyta; Magnoliopsida; Malvales; Malvaceae.